AUAAAGCUAAAACCAUCUUCCAUCACUGGCCUGAUUCAGACAGGAUGCGUCAGCGAGCAGGAACCAAUCAACGAGGCGAUAUAUUUUCUAAACAUCAGUAGUGGCGUUAUGGCUGUCCUUUUGACGCGACUCGUGGUUGUGGAUUCAACGCUGUAAUCUAUCAACUGUACAUAUUUAGAAGCAAAAAAUUUGUAUGGAAAACAUUUCACUCAGCAAGUGUUUUAUCGUAUUAAUAUGUGUUAUGAUAGGUCUUUGGCUCAUACGUCGCUGCAAAUAAUAGAAGCUUAAUUGCAUGAGCGUGUUCAUAUUACAUGGUUUUAUCAAAUACAGAAGCUCCAAGGAAUAACGAUUGUCUUUGUGUGCGAGAUUCAUAGAUGAAAAUUUAUGCACUAUUCUCCAGUUAAUCAGUUCUAUCAGCUAAAACAAAUUAGGUUUGUUAGAUUAAAUAAAACUAAAAUUGUUGAAAACAAAAACACACACACUUGUUUUAGAAUUAGAAAAGAAUCAUUCUUAAAUGUGUCUUUUUCAUUAAAUUCUUAAUUUUAAUUAAAUUACAUUCUAAACUUUUGAG
This is a long non-coding RNA of Ooceraea biroi (clonal raider ant), 571 nucleotides long. RefSeq lists it as uncharacterized. Lineage: Eukaryota; Metazoa; Arthropoda; Insecta; Hymenoptera; Formicidae. The record is from RefSeq and is a predicted model, not a curated record.